Molecule: long non-coding RNA, 1238 nt
Organism: Oxyura jamaicensis (ruddy duck)
Lineage: Eukaryota; Metazoa; Chordata; Aves; Anseriformes; Anatidae
Exons: 2
Source: RefSeq, a predicted model, not a curated record
CUUCGCUCUGCCCUCGGCGGUCCCCCCGGCCUGUCAUCCCCGGCCCCAAAGCUUUGGUUGGAAAUGCGUUUCCAUCCGGACUUAAGACGAUGAAAGAUGAGGAAUUCGCCGUAUGCAUUUAAAACGUUGCUCUUAAUAAGCAGGGUGUGCGGAAGCGCACGCCCGGCCUGUUUAAGGAAGACAGACACAUAAAACACCCCCGAGCUGCUGGGUAUAAACCUGCUCUCGGGGUCGGCUCGCUGCUUCUGAGGAUCAGUAGGGCUGCCAAAGCGGGGACACGUUCAGCAGCAUCUCCGUCUGUGCCACUUUGCCUCCCUCCUAAACCAAACCCGUUCCGGGGACGCACUCCCGAGCUAAGGCCGGCGAGAGAGAGACCCACACACCCCCCCGCCCCCCGAAAUCACGACGUCCUGUUUCUUACGGGGACAUUUCCCCCCGCGGGAUAAUGGCGAGAAAUCACAGCGGAGCACCGCCUCGCUUUCCCCGGCGUGCUGCGGGAGCGCACUCCGAAGGAGCCCGGCCUUGCCGUAGCGCUGCUAGUGCUUGCUCGCGAAAUCCCUCAGUUAGAUGGCCAGAACGUCUUUGCCGCGUUCUUGGAUUUUUCCUUCAUCGCGACUACUGCAAGGCGAAGAUGACACUGGCAUAUUAGACCCGAUCCUUCCGAAUUGCAGGGGGCAUGGAUUUCGGCUUCAGAGUUAGUAUUUUCGUUUAAGGAAGGGAGGGAGGGAAUUCACCCAAAUCAAAUCAACUUUAAAAAACAAAAAAAAAAAAAAAAGAAAAAAGGGGAGAAAAAAAAGGGGGAGGAAAAAAAAAAAAAAGAAAAAAAGAAAAAAAAAAAAGAAAAAAACACCAAACCAAACAAACAAAAACCACCACCAACAGAAGUGGUGCGAGGAGGGGGAAGGCGAUCUCUGAGCCGCAAGCCCAGCAGGCAGAGCUGAUCGGGAGAAGGCAGUCCUCCUCUGCCUCUGCACUACCCAGAGCUUCGAAACCGAGACUGAGAGACCUACACAAGCCACGGUCCUCUCCUGCAGCCGGAAUCGGAUCUUCUCCUCGCCGGGGAGCAAAGAGCACCGGCUUCCCCUCACCGAGGGAUUUCUUCUCCUCGAGCCUUCCCCGUCCAAAACCAAUAAUAAGAAAAUAUCAAAAGCAGAGCGGCCGCGCGAGAAACCAUAGGGCUAGGCGGGCUGGACCAUUUUCGGACGCUAUUUUUGUCUCUUAAAAAAAAAAAAAAAAAA